GGCCCCCCCGAGUAUGCAUUGCAGGUUCCUGAAAAUUAUUUCACUGCACAUAUGCGAAGCUUUUCUACAAAAAAAAAAAAGACUUUAUGGAAUCUGGUGCUUGUCGGAUUACUUUCUGAAGAAGUGCCUAUGCCGCCACAUGUCGUGUGAUGUACGCACUGGAUGCCAAUACAUUGAUGACGUCGCCGUGUGACUUGCAGAAUACGCGGAGUGCGGUCAGUUCCUCAGAGACUGUGGACUAACUCAUAAAGACGCUUUAAAAACGGUUCUGCGGCGGGCGUAACACCCAGUGCAGGAACCAGAAGGCGGAGGAGAAGAAUUCUUUUAAAGUGGCCCGAAAGGUGCAACACAACUCAUAAAUCAAAGCGGAUGUAGAAAGUGUCAGACAGACGAGUGAACUUAACAAUGUGCUUAACUGCGAAACCGGCGCUACGAUGUCCGUUGGUACCACUACAACAGGAGACUCAUCAUCACACCUGUUAGCCCUGGGUUCUUCGCCAAGGUGACCAACACUGAAACCAACAGCACACGCUUUGAGUUCCGGAAACAGCCAGAAGUUAGCUGGAGCCAAGUCAGGAGAGAUGGCGGAUGGUCCAUGGCAGAGAUGCAUUUUCCUGCUGAAAAACUACGACACCCGAAGUGAAGAGCGCCGGCGCGCUGUCGUGGUGAAGAGUCGAGUCAUCUCACCACAACUCUCCUCGCUUGCGCCUCACGGCAUCAACACUACACCUCCACGUAGAUUGUCUGAUUAACAGUGGUCCUUUCGGGCACAGAUUCGAAGUGGAUGUCCAAAAAGCAGGUCAACAUUGUUCUUCGAUCUCCACUCCUUGGACUGGCGUUUGGACAGCUGGAGAUUUCUGCGGUUUAACACAGAAUUUCACGUUCACUUUCCGUCCACAAUGAUAUGCAAAUACCGGACGAAACCGAA
Cryptotermes secundus is the source of this 928-nucleotide long non-coding RNA. RefSeq lists it as uncharacterized. Lineage: Eukaryota; Metazoa; Arthropoda; Insecta; Blattodea; Kalotermitidae. The record is from RefSeq and is a predicted model, not a curated record. The transcript is spliced from 3 exons.